UACGGAGGGGGCAAGCGUUGUUCGGAGUUACUGGGCGUAAAGCGCGCGUAGGCGGUGCGGUAAGUCAGGGGUUAAAGGCUGCAGCUCAACUGCAGUAAGGCCUUUGAUACUAUCGCGCUAGAGUACCAGAGAGGGUGGUGGAAUUCCCAGUGUAGAGGUGAAAUUCGUAGAUAUUGGGAGGAACACCAGAGGCGAAGGCGGCCACCUGGCUGAUAACUGACGCUGAGGUGCGAGAGCGUGGGGAGCAAACAGG
Molecule: ribosomal RNA, 253 nt
Filed under: uncultured microorganism
Description: partial 16S ribosomal RNA
Rfam family: Bacterial small subunit ribosomal RNA
Source: RNAcentral